RNAcentral lists this long non-coding RNA (862 nucleotides) under Coturnix japonica (Japanese quail). Its description in RNAcentral is "lncRNA (ENSCJPG00005009859.1)". The record is from RNAcentral. Lineage: Eukaryota; Metazoa; Chordata; Aves; Galliformes; Phasianidae.
ACCCUCCCCAUGCCUUGCUUCCAGCUCAGACAGUGUUAAUAGCACAGCAACGUUCAGCUGCUGCUGAGUGGUGAGUGCUCCCCCAGGGUCAGGCAGGGGGUGUGAUGCAGCAGCUGGGCCACUGUGCCAGCUGUGCCAGGCCACAUGCAGCCUGCAGCCCAUGGGUUGGACAGCCCUGAAUAAGGACAAAUUAAACCAGUCUGAAAACCUACACAAACCACAAGUGGCUCGUGCUUCAAAUACAUCUCACAUGAAAAGGAAAUUUAUCCAAAGAUCGGCCCCAAACUUUUAGGGCACUCUGUGCAGAAUACAAGAUGUCCUUACUAAGCGGCUGAGGCUUAAAAAGAGAAUAACAUCAAAUCACACUUUGCCUAUUCCUCUGCACAACUACACAGGCAAAGCCCAAGCACUGCUAUGUUAUCACCAGACACACCACAAGGAGCACAACAACACAUCAGGAGAAGAAAUGCAAGAGUUUCUUUUGCUGCCUUUUCCAGCUCUGUGGACUGGGCACAGUACCAAAAACCAGAGCAAGAGAAUCUUCAAGGGAAACACUGCCAAACCUGGUUCAGAAAAGAAUGACUGGAAAAAAAUUCAGAAAAGAAUGACUGCAAAAGCCCCUGUUUCAGUCUCUUCAAUGGGAUUGGAAGAAGUAGCAACCAUAGAAUCCCAACAGUGAAUUCAUGAAUGAUGCAUUAAAAGAAAUUUCUCUCUGCCUGGUGCCUGGAGGGAAUAUCAGACAAGAUUGUGAGACCAUUGCUGGGCUGGGCUACUGGGUGCAAUAUGCAGCUUGGAUUUGGCCAGGAAAGUCUAUUAGUCUCAAAGCAAAUGUAUAAAACACAAUGAGAAAAAAUAAAGAGCU